UUUUCCCUGGGUUUUGAAUUUGCAGUAACAGGUGUGAACAUUCUAGCAGCAGUUUGAUGAUCAUGUAUGAUACUGCAAACAGG
RNAcentral lists this microRNA precursor (83 nucleotides) under Cavia porcellus (domestic guinea pig). Its description in RNAcentral is "miRNA (ENSCPOG00000040649.1)". It matches the Rfam family "Small Cajal body specific RNA 16", at positions 104 to 186 of the family's 187-position model. Rfam says of the family: scaRNAs are a specific class of small nuclear RNAs which localise to the Cajal bodies and guide the modification of RNA polymerase II transcribed spliceosomal RNAs U1, U2, U4, U5 and U12. ACA47 belongs to the H/ACA box class of guide RNAs as it has the predicted hairpin-hinge-hairpin-tail structure, the conserved H/ACA-box motifs and is found associated with GAR1. Lineage: Eukaryota; Metazoa; Chordata; Mammalia; Rodentia; Caviidae. The record is from RNAcentral.